Molecule: ribosomal RNA, 118 nt
Filed under: Sinocyclocheilus rhinocerous
Lineage: Eukaryota; Metazoa; Chordata; Actinopteri; Cypriniformes; Cyprinidae
Source: RNAcentral
GCUUACGGACAUAUCACACUGUCUGCACCCGAUCUCAUCUGAUCUCGGAAGCUAAGCAGGGUCGGGCUGGUUAAUUACUUGGAUGGGAGCCGCGUGGGAAUACCAGGUGCUGUAAGCU